This 397-nucleotide ribosomal RNA is filed under the name uncultured bacterium. RNAcentral describes it as "bacterial SSU rRNA". It matches the Rfam family "Bacterial small subunit ribosomal RNA", at positions 957 to 1352 of the family's 1533-position model. The record is from RNAcentral.
UAAUUAUAAAAACACUACCAACCCCUGCCAUUGAUUUCUAAGGAAAGAGAUAUCCAUUCCUUUUUUGGCGACCAGGAAAACAGGUGGCGCAUGGUGGUCGUCAGUUCGUGUCUUGAGAUGUGGGGUUAAGUCCCGCAACGAGCGCAACCCCUAUCUUCUGUUGCCAGCAGUUAAGCCGGGGCAUUCUGGGGAGACUGCCGGGGCAAACCGGGAGGAAGGGGGGGAGGAGGUCAAUUCUUCAUGCCCCUUAGGUCUGGGGCUACACACGUGUUCCAAUGGUCUUAACAGAGGGAAGCGAAGGCGCGAUCCGGAGCAAACCCCAAAAACAGAGUCCCAGUUCGGAUUGCAGGCUGCAACUCGCCUGCAUGAAGUAGGAAUCGCUAGUAAUCGCAUUCAG